This is a non-coding RNA of Odocoileus virginianus texanus, 865 nucleotides long. NCBI's taxonomy places the organism in Eukaryota, Metazoa, Chordata, Mammalia, Artiodactyla, Cervidae. The record is from RefSeq and is a predicted model, not a curated record.
UUCCAACCCCCACCCCCCCUCAUCUAUCACAUGGCAGAGAUAGAAUAAAAACAGAAAAAUGGCGACGGUCACGUUGUGGCGAGCACGUUGCCAGCUGCCACCUUCUUGGAGAAGGACCACACCUGUGCUAAUUCCUCGCUUUGGAGGAGAGGUGAGCUGAGAAACCGACCAGCUUUCCCAAAGCUGUUCACCAGCCCUCCCGUCCCAGAAUUGGCCAGAAAGUGCUGCUUUCACCUGCCGAUUGCGCUGGCCACAUCCAUUCCCCCCACGCACCCCUGCAAGUUGUCUCCAGAUGUAUUGGGAUUUUUUUCUUGCCUCUGGACCUGCAGCUCACAACCAGCAACUAACUGCAGGGUUUAGACAGAAAGAAGUGAUCUCCUUGGUUUUCGUGUGCAUUCUUCGUUCUCCAGGGGGUCUUAACGAUGGAAUCUGCCCCCUCUAUUCUCUCGCUAAGAGCUUAGUCCAGAAUCUGGCCUGAGUAACCAGUUUCUGGCGCUCUUUCUCUGGGCCCCACCCUGGCCCCUCUUGGUUCUCCGGAGCCAAAUACGCCUCCCAAGCAGAAGGCACACCCUGCCCUAAAUCUAACCAUUCCAAAAGGGAGGAGGAAAGAGUGGAAGAGAAGGGACCCAGGGGUCUUCUUUCUGCCUGAGUAUCCCCAACAGCAGCUUCCUCUUCAAGCCGCCUGCAUUUAUAGUCUGUAUUCUUAUCAGCUGCUCCCCAUUUUUGCCUCUAGUCCUACGAUAGAUAUUUAGGUGGGUAAGGGGGUGUGGAAAAAGAGAUGUCACCCCUUUUCCCUGGUGUGAGACAUUUUCAUUCUCAGUCUUUCCAUUUUUGAGAUGCUUAACAAUUAAAAUAUGUAAAUAUG